Molecule: ribosomal RNA, 253 nt
Filed under: uncultured bacterium
Lineage: Bacteria
Description: partial 16S ribosomal RNA
Rfam family: Bacterial small subunit ribosomal RNA
Source: RNAcentral
UACGAAGGGGGCUAGCGUUGCUCGGAAUGACUGGGCGUAAAGGGCGCGUAGGCGGCGUUUUAAGUCGGGGGUGAAAGCCCAGAGCUCAACUCUGGAACUGCCUUCGAAACUAGAGGACUUGGGUACGGGAGAGGUGAGUGGAAUUCCGAGUGUAGAGGUGAAAUUCGUAGAUAUUCGGAAGAACACCAGUGGCGAAGGCGGCUCACUGGCCCGUUACCGACGCUCAGGCGCGACAGCGUGGGGAGCAAACAGG